Molecule: ribosomal RNA, 467 nt
Filed under: uncultured bacterium
Lineage: Bacteria
Description: partial 16S ribosomal RNA
Rfam family: Bacterial small subunit ribosomal RNA
Source: RNAcentral
ACGAACGCUGGCGGCGUGCUUAACACCUGCAAGUCGCACGGAAAGGCCCUGCUUUUGUGGGGUGCUCGAGUGGCGAACGGGUGAGUAACACGUGAGUAACCUGCCCUUGACUUUGGGAUAACUUCAGGAAACUGGGGCUAAUACCGGAUAGGAGCUCCUGCUGCAUGGUGGGGGUUGGAAAGUUUCGGCGGUUGGGGAUGGACUCGCGGCUUAUCAGCUUGUUGGUGGGGUAGUGGCUUACCAAGGCUUUGACGGGUAGCCGGCCUGAGAGGGUGACCGGCCACAUUGGGACUGAGAUACGGCCCAGACUCCUACGGGAGGCAGCAGUGGGGAAUAUUGCACAAUGGGCGGAAGCCUGAUGCAGCAACGCCGCGUGCGGGAUGACGGCCUUCGGGUUGUAAACCGCUUUCGCCUGUGACGAAGCGUGAGUGACGGUAAUGGGUAAAGAGGCACCGGCUAACUACGUG